GGGUGUAUAGCUCAGUUGGUAGAGCAUUGGGCUUUUAACCUAAUGGUUGCAGGUUCAAGUCCUGCUAUACCCA
This 73-nucleotide transfer RNA is filed under the name Triticum turgidum subsp. durum (durum wheat). Its description in RNAcentral is "Triticum durum (durum wheat) tRNA". It matches the Rfam family "tRNA". Rfam says of the family: Transfer RNA (tRNA) molecules are approximately 80 nucleotides in length. Their secondary structure includes four short double-helical elements and three loops (D, anti-codon, and T loops). Lineage: Eukaryota; Viridiplantae; Streptophyta; Magnoliopsida; Poales; Poaceae. RNAcentral also lists the same sequence under 4 other names. The record is from Rfam by way of RNAcentral.